Molecule: ribosomal RNA, 467 nt
Filed under: uncultured bacterium
Lineage: Bacteria
Description: bacterial SSU rRNA
Rfam family: Bacterial small subunit ribosomal RNA
Source: RNAcentral
UUACGGGAGGCAGCAGUAGGGAAUUUUGCGCAAUGGGCGAAAGCCUGACGCAGCAACGCCGCGUGAGGGAUGAAGGUCUUCGGAUCGUAAACCUCUGUUGAGUGGGAAGAACCUUCCCAAGGAUAACACCCUUGGGGACUGACGGUACCACUUGAGGAAGCCCCGGCUAACUACGUGCCAGCAGCCGCGGUAAUACGUAGGGGGCAAGCGUUGUUCGGAAUCACUGGGCGUAAAGGGAGCGUAGGCGGGAAGGCAAGUUGGGAGUGAAAUUCAUAGGCUCAACCUGUGACGUGCUUUCAAUACUGCUUUUCUUGAGUAUGGGAGAGGGCGAUGGAAUUCCAGGUGUAGCGGUGGAAUGCGUAGAUAUCUGGAAGAACACCAGUUGCGAAGGCGGUCGCCUGGCCCAAUACUGACGCUGAGGCUCGAAAGCUAGGGGAGCGAACAGGAUUAGAUACCCUAGUAGUCCU